This 422-nucleotide ribosomal RNA is filed under the name uncultured bacterium. RNAcentral's name for it is "bacterial SSU rRNA". It matches the Rfam family "Bacterial small subunit ribosomal RNA", at positions 355 to 776 of the family's 1533-position model. The record is from RNAcentral.
UGAGGAAUAUUGGUCAAUGGGCGCGAGCCUGAACCAGCCAAGUCGCGUGAGGGAAGACUGCCCUAUGGGUUGUAAACCUCUUUUGUCGGGGAGCAAAGAGACCACGUGUGGUUUUUUGAGAGUACCCGAAGAAAAAGCAUCGGCUAACUCCGUGCCAGCAGCCGCGGUAAUACGGAGGAUGCGAGCGUUAUCCGGAUUUAUUGGGUUUAAAGGGUGCGUAGGCGGAGAUGCAAGUCAGCGGUAAAAUCGUGGGGCUCAACCCCAUCCUGCCGUUGAAACUGUAUCCCUUGAGUGAGUGAGAGGUAUGCGGAAUGCGUGGUGUAGCGGUGAAAUGCAUAGAUAUCACGCAGAACCCCGAUUGCGAAGGCAGCAUACCGGUGCUCAACUGACGCUGAGGCACGAAAGCGUGGGGAUCAAACAGG